Scylla paramamosain (green mud crab) is the source of this 4853-nucleotide long non-coding RNA. RefSeq lists it as uncharacterized. NCBI's taxonomy places the organism in Eukaryota, Metazoa, Arthropoda, Malacostraca, Decapoda, Portunidae. The record is from RefSeq and is a predicted model, not a curated record. The transcript is spliced from 2 exons.
GGGAGAUAAAUCCAGUUCAGUGCAGUUGGCGUUAAUGGCAAUGCGUUUUCUUUUUAUUUGUGAUUGUUUAUUUGAAGUGACUUGUUUAGGAUCCGAAGCUUCGUAGGCUAGGAGUGAAGGAGACGCGAGAGGAGGUUUUAGAGAGAGAGAGAGAGAGAGAGAGAAUACAAGAUCCCUUAGCACCAGUAAAUUAGGAUAGGUAUUAAUAACAAUGAAAACAAAUCUACGUGAAUUCAGAAAAUUAAGAAAGGGGGUGGGAAAGGAAUACCGAAGAAACUAAUCAUUCCUGUAACGAGACAAGCUUGAGUCUUGCUGCAGUUACUUUUCAGUCCCAGCUCUCCAAAAGGAAGAUAGAAGGCUGGGAGAUGGACGCGCUGCUCACUGUAAGAGUCAUGGAGACCAGCAUUUUCUUACCACUCCAAAGGACAGAUAAAUAAAUAUUCAGUGAAAUUCGGACAGGAGGGCGGCAUUCAACAGGCGACACCGGCACCGUUGCGUCACCGCGGCCAGGCGUACGAUGCAAGUCACACACGGCAGUCAAGUCUUCGCCAGCUAGUUCGGCGGAACACAAUGCUAAGAAAAAGAAAGAAAAAUCGAAUGAAUGUUACCCACUCAGCAAGACCCCGUCGUGCCAUCCCUCACCAGGACGAGUGGUUAUUGUCACCAGGCCCGCCUGGUGCGUGGCUCGCGGCCCAUGAAUCUUGUUUCGAUCAAUGGCGCCAGGUAGGCCUCGCUGGGGACGGACGGCCAAGGUGCGCCUCGCCCUCGCUAGCACUGUAAAAUGAGGACUUCUGACUAGAGGAAACGGAAGAACAGUAUGAAAUUGUAACAGAAUGCCAUAUCAAAAGUUUUCUGUGAACGGGAAUUGCUCUUACAACCGGAAAGUGCAUAUUGUAUUUCCACAAGAUAUAAUUAGGAAGCAAAUAUGGUUAUAACUACCCGGGGUGACCUCGCCUUCAUGGUGUAGUAAUUAUUCCCUCAAGCUGCCUUUACAAGGACGUCAAUUUUCUUCGUCACGUUCAAGGAGGUGAAGUUAUUAAUCGUCUUGAAUUAUCUUCGGCAAGACACCGUGUAGCAGCUAGUAAACACACCGCGUCCGUAGCGACGAAGAGCUACGGAUGCGAGGCAGUUAUGGAUGCAGUUUGUUGGGAUAUAAUUGCUGAGCUAAGCGCCUCGAAACAAACAAUGAUGCGUGGCUCUGUUCAGUUUGAUAAUCAUCACUGAUCUAUUUACAUGAUUGGACUAAGUAACAAAUCUUAGAAGGUAUGGGACUACACGUUUGUAAAAGAAUUAGUCACAGAUAAUUAGUAUUUUGAUUACUUAAAGAUCUUUAUCAUAUGAUAUAUAUUCCAUGAAUAAAUUUUAUGGAAGGAUUCUGAUCGCAUUCUGUGAACACGUGAUCACUUUCCACGCAAGAAAAUCUUGUCCGAUGAUGAAUUGGGAAAGGAGAGACGCUCCGUGUAAUAAUUGCUCACGGGGACAGACCGCAGAGCAGAGGUAGAGAAUGGGGCUGGCACCGAUCUCACAGCUCAUCCGACCAGUCCUCGUCUGUUACGGGCUGGUUAUUAGACAAAUGCAUAAGAAGAGUAGACGGGAAAGCUGAAUGUUAAAAUUUAAGGGGUGACUGAAAGGUGUUUUCACAUUACAUACUUGAAACCUGAUUAGACGGAGAUGAGUGACACAGCUAAACAUCUUGUGUAGCUUUGACGAUUGAUUUCGUUCAUUUUCCGAAAACCUUGGAUGAAAUGUGGUAUCGGUAAGAAAAGCCAGUAAGAGAAAACAGUGAUACAUUGGCUGCGUGUUGAUAACAGCCACUCAUCUGGCAGUGAUGUGUAGGCCGCUGGCGUUAACUGCUUCACCACACUCGAUAAAAGCUCGUUCCAGCACCCUUUAAAUAUGACUCCAGCAGCCCUGAAGUGUAUCUCACAAGAAAGAAAAAAAAAAAAAAAAAUAGGAGCACGACGAUGACGCCUUGUGAGUCCCAACAUGAGUGCCAGUGCCUGACGCUGCUCUGAUAGGAUUGCAUUGACCAUUAACCGAAGCCCGGACGUGAUGCCUGCUCGUGAGUGAUGGCCCGGAAAGGCCUUGCACCAGGUGGGCAGCUACACUCACUGUGGAUGUAGGAGAGGCAGUGAGUUCUCAGAUACGUUCAUCAGUAUUGUGUGUAUGUGUGUGUGUGUGUGUGAGUGUGUGGUGUUCGUCGUAAGGAUCACAUGCAAGACUUGUGAUCUUCAGCUAAUAUUUUUCUGAGUAUGUUUUGAGCUCAUAGAGUCCGAUCUGUGUGUGUGUCCUUGAGUACUCAUCCCUCUCACGCCGCCAGGUGCAGGUAACAACAUCGCUUGGCUCUCCGACUCGCGGCUUCAAGAGCCGCACCGACGCACCGUCUGAGUCCAGACAAGAAGCGUCUGCUUAUUCUUAUAAAAUACACUACAGGCGCCCAGCAGUUCUACCACUCGAUGUUCUAUGUUUAUAUAAUUUGUUUUUUCACCAUGAAAAUACACUCUAAAUAAUAUCUAUCUAUACGAGAGUGGAUAUAAAUUCGUUUGGUGUACGAUAUGUUGGGCCGAAGACGGUUCGAGUUGGGAGCCUGAGCCUGGAGCCUGGAGGCAAACCCAGUUGGUCACGAAGUUUUGUGGGUGUAGUGUGUUGGUUGCGUGAUGCCUCGUACCUGUUGAGCCGCGUGGUUAGUUUGUAGUUGCUUUUGUUGUGCUAUGUGGCCGAGAACUUAGAUCCGCACGUGUUGUUUUCCGUUUUUACGAAUAUUUGAGAGGCUGGCGCCGCGCACGUGACUCGGCUGAGAACUUAACGAGCUGGAUCCGGACUGACCUGAGGAGGAGGAAAGCCUGCAGGUCAUUCAGCUCAGUUCAAUACACUACUCUGGUUACUCCUUGGCUACUAAUGCGUCUGGCGAGGCUUGCACAGAGGUCCGAGACUUCCGUGCCAUUCCAUCUGACGUCGCGAAGAGCAGAGUGAAGGAGUCUUGGGCCACAUUAUAUAUCCUUUCAUUAUGUGCUCGAGAUUCCCUUUGUUCACUGGGCUUUGAGUAGUCUGCAGUAAUAAUUCUCUCUAUUUUGAACUACGAAAUCGAACAUCCCUAUUUCAAAGAAGUCUCUUUGUUCCUGAGCCCAGUAGCCUCUGGUACCAAUAUCCUGACAAUCUACCUGGCAUCAAUCCUACAGUACGGGCCUCAUAAGCCUAUUCACGCCGUGCGGCAGCCUGUCAGGAGGUGAAUAGGUAUGGGCUCUGUAUGGGCAUCAAGGAAAUGUGAUUAAUUCAACUUCUCUAGAAUAGCUUUCAGCUUAUGCCGUUUUGUUCUCGAGUCGAAAUAAACCUAGCGCGGCCCUAGCUAAGCCGUGGCAGUACUAGCGUGCAUCACAAACACUGCCUGUCUGGGUGUUUGCCUUUGUAUUUCCCGGAAAGAUUUUUUUCAUAAUUACUUUCCCAUGUUCAGAGUUUUGGUUUUAUCUACGUGUGUGUGUGUGUGUGUGUGUGUGUGUGUGUGUGUGUGUGUGUGUGUGUGUACUCGUAUUCGUAAACAUAGGUAACAAAAACUCAUGCACACACAGUCAGUAACUUAGAGAAAAAAAUAAUUGCAUUUACACUAAUUAGCUCUACGGAAUUUUACCUACACACUAAUUUGUAUUUCAGUUAAAUGUAGGCAGUAUCACACAUUGUUCUCUCUUUAUUGUGGCUCAUGAUUCUAGAGCGAAGGGAAAGAGUGACGUGUUUAAGGGACGAGUACGCACGAGGCUGGCAGAAGAAACAAAGGAGAGAGAGAGAGACAGAACUGAUGCACUGCGCAGCCUCGCCUUGUUACCUCUCGUGAUUUCCUCUUCAACAAUAAUUAAAAAUGCAUACGAGGGCAGUGCGAGUUGUAGGGAGAAGACUGAGCGCAAAUGUUUCUCUCUCUCUCUCUCUCUCUCUCUCUCUCUCUCUCUCUCUCUCUCUCUCUCUCUCUCUCUCUCUCUCUCUCUCUCUCUCUCUCUCUCUCUCUCACUACACUUUCCUUUUCUUUUCCUCCUCGCCAAGUCUCCACAUCUCACGUUCUUACUCGGCUCUACGUCGCUUCCCUGUCGCGCCUCAGACUUGAGCUUCAUCUCCUGUAGUUAUGACGCGUCGCCUCUCCCUCCUCCGGCUAUUACUUCCCUCCGUCUACCUUCCUGCACCCCGCCAGACCCCAGCUUCGUCCCCCUCCUGUCUCUUCAGUAGUUCCCAGUAUCGCGUUCACGUCUCCUCCAGCUCUCUACGGUAACAAGAUGAAGAUACAUGUAGCCUUGUAGUAUGAUUUUUAUAUGGGUUUGAUAAUGUGUGUUAUUAUUUCAUGUGUGUUUGCCGUGUGCGUGAAAGUUAGUUGUGCUAUUGAAUGUUGGUGUGUUACGUUUUCUUUUGCUUUCAGGGACAAUGGGUGUUUUUUUUAUUUCUUAUAGUUAUUGGUGUGUUUGUGCUGGCUUCCCGUCUUGUGUAUUGAGUCUUUGCGUAUGGAAGGGACGUUUUUGUUAAGAAAAUUCUUUGUACAUAAGCCAGCCGUUACGUAAGAUAGCGAAAAAUAUAUUUUGAAAAAUAAAAAUUUUCCUCCCAUUGGUUAUCAAAAGGAAGAGAUAACUUAUCAUAACAGCAGCAACAACAAUAACAUCAACAGCAGCAGCAGCAGUAGGAAUAAUAAUAAUAAUAAUAGUAAUAAUAAUAAUAAUAAUAAUAAUAAUAAUAAUAGACAGAUUAUUGCGUGAUUUAUCACCAAUAUCACACUCUUUAAAAUGCACACACACACACACACACACACACACACACACACACACACACACACACACACACACACACACACACACACACACACACACACACACACACACACA